UACGGGGGGAGCAAGCGUUGUUCGGAUUUACUGGGCGUAAAGGGCGCGUAGGCGGCGCAACAAGUCACUUGUGAAAUCUCCGGGCUUAACCCGGAGCGGCCAAGUGAUACUGUCGUGCUAGAGUGCGGAAGGGGCUACUGGAAUUCUCGGUGUAGCGGUGAAAUGCGUAGAUAUCAGGAGGAACACCGGUGGCGAAGGCGGGUCUCUGGGCCGAAACUGACGCUGAGGAGCGAAAGCGUGGGGAGCAAACAGG
RNAcentral lists this ribosomal RNA (253 nucleotides) under uncultured bacterium. RNAcentral describes it as "partial 16S ribosomal RNA". It matches the Rfam family "Bacterial small subunit ribosomal RNA", at positions 524 to 776 of the family's 1533-position model. The record is from RNAcentral.